This 492-nucleotide ribosomal RNA is filed under the name uncultured bacterium. RNAcentral describes it as "partial 16S ribosomal RNA". It matches the Rfam family "Bacterial small subunit ribosomal RNA", at positions 29 to 507 of the family's 1533-position model. The record is from RNAcentral.
AGUGAACGCUGGCGGUAGGCCUAACACAUGCAAGUCGAACGGCAGCACAGUAAGAGCUUGCUCUUACGGGUGGCGAGUGGCGGACGGGUGAGGAAUACAUCGGAAUCUACUUUUUCGUGGGGGAUAACGUAGGGAAACUUACGCUAAUACUGCAUACGACCUACGGGUGAAAGCAGGGGAUCUUCGGACCUUGCGCGAUUGAAUGAGCCGAUGUCGGAUUAGCUAGUUGGCGGGGUAAAGGCCCACCAAGGCGACGAUCCGUAGCUGGUCUGAGAGGAUGGUCAGCCACACUGGAACUGAGACACGGUCCAGACUCCUACGGGAGGCAGCAGUGGGGAAUAUUGGGCAAUGGGCGCAAGCCUGAUCCAGCCAUACCGCGUGGGUGAAGAAGGCCUUCGGGUUGUAAAGCCCUUUUGUUGGGAAAGAAAAGCAGCAGGUUAAUACCCCGCUGUUCUGACGGUACCCAAAGAAUAAGCACCGGCUAACUUCGUG